RNAcentral lists this long non-coding RNA (1518 nucleotides) under Ictidomys tridecemlineatus (thirteen-lined ground squirrel). Its description in RNAcentral is "lncRNA (ENSSTOG00000029679.1)". The record is from RNAcentral. Lineage: Eukaryota; Metazoa; Chordata; Mammalia; Rodentia; Sciuridae.
CCUCCUCUGUCCUUCCUGAACUUAGACUGGGCUCUGUCUAUCCACCCUGUUUGCAGGAAGAGAAAUUUGAGGACAUCAGGUCCAGCCACAUCUGCUAUCGCAUCCUGGGUGUUGGAGGACCCUGGAGGCACUCGGGACCACUCAUCAGGCUCCCUGGAGGGCUUGGUCUUGCCACUGGCUACAAAUGUAUUAGUUCUGCCUAAGGAACAAGUUGGCAGUUCAAGGCCUCUCUCUGUCACUGACCACAAGUUCUGGAGCAGGUAAAGGUCAGGAAAUGUCAGAGGCGAUUCAUCAGGUGAUAUAUGAAAGAGUGGAAACGUGUCUCUUCCUAUUUGCCUAUAUUUUGUGGACCAAACGAUAUUCCUUAUGGAAGGACCUACACAGUUAAUGAACAGGUGCCCCUGGCCAUGGCCCAUUUUGGUUUUAUCGAACACCCACCAGCCUUCGGACAGCUUUCAACAGCAGUAUGUCAAAUACCUUAGUAACUCGAUUUCUCCUUCUAAUCUGCUACAAUGCCUGUCAACUUGGAGUACUGCUCUAUCUACUGCCAGGUGAACUCAGAAUAGAGAAUGUUCUCCACUUCCAACAUGAUGUUUUCUUGGUUAAGAAAGGCAAAAUGUAGCAAGAGAAAGUGCAUUUGCUAAAAACAAUUGUUUAGGCAAGGAACAAAAUCAAAGCUGGGGUGGGGGAAGGAAACAGGAAAAGCAAACUGAACUCUUGUACCUGACACAAAUAAGUUUCCUGGGCAUAGUUUUCCAAUUCACAAAAGGAGUUUAUAGUGUCUUUGCUCUUAAAUUGCAUAGGAAACAUAUACCUAAAGAUAUAGUUAAUAUGUUUUCAUAUAACCUGGGAAGAAAUUUUUCAUUUAUUUUAUGCAAAACACUGUUGAAAGUUCAGAAAUAAGGAAUAGAAAUAUUUCAUUAAGAGGAUAAAAUUGGGACACACUGACAAUUUGCAAACCAUCCCUCAUCCAACCUUUUAGUGUCCCAUUCCAAUCAGGAUCUCAGCUGCACCCAAGUUACCCUGGUAAGUUCUCAGCUGCACCUUAGUUACCCUGGUAACCAUCUCAAUGUUUGCACAGAGACUUUUCUGAGCUGAAGCAAGCUGCCACUUCAAUCAUUGAGGUUUUCCUUUGGGCUGGUUCUUUACAGCCAUUCUCCAAGCUCUUGUGCAUCUAGAUCCUAACUGUCUUCCUGGCUGCCAGCCGUCUGAACACCUAACUCAUCAUUUGUCUGAUACCUUCAAGUUGCCCCACUCUGGCUUGUCUGCUAGUCAGUACUACUGAUUGCUGGGACCUCCAAUUCUGCCUCUUUGGCCCAGCUUCUUGUCCAGUGUGCCCAGUCGUUAUUUCUCCACUUAUGAGCAUAAAACAGAUGAACUGUGGCCGGGGCUGUAGGUCAAUGGUAGAGCAGUUGCCUAGCAUGUGGGAGGCACUAGGUUCCACCCUCAGCACCCUAUAAAAGUAAAUAAAUAAAAUAAAGAUAUUGUGCCCACCUACAACGAAAAAUAUAAAAGUUU